UCAGGUGGAUGUUGCAUGUGGGAGGAUUGGAGCUGCAUAUUUCAGAUUCAAGCAUCUAGAUGAUGGAAUAUACGAAGCUGUUGCAGGAAGUGACUUUGUCAUUACUAGAGUUGCAUUUCGAGACAACUCUUCAAAGUACUACAUAAAUGACCAUGGAAGUAAUUCUACAGAGGUCACUAAGAAAUUGAAAGGAAAAGGAGUGGACUUGAACAACAAUCAGUUUUUGAUUCUUCAGGUGGGUGAUGGCUGAAAAAGGCCUAUUUACUUGUGAAAAAAAUAUCAUACCGUCAAAAUAUAUCUUCUCUUUCAUUUCUUUAUCAUUGAAAUUUCAGGGUGAAAUCGAGCAAAUUUCUCUAAUGAAGCCAAAGAUUUGUAUUUUCAGCAUUAUUGUAAUUGUAAUUGUAAUUGAUUGAAUGAAGGAUUGUAAUUGAUUGUAAUUGUAAUUGAUUGAAUGAAGGAUUGUAAUUGAAUGAAUAAAUGAUUGUAAUUGAUUGUAGUGGAAUGAAUGAAUGAUUAUGCAGGUGGUAAUUGAA
Molecule: long non-coding RNA, 533 nt
Organism: Magnolia sinica
Lineage: Eukaryota; Viridiplantae; Streptophyta; Magnoliopsida; Magnoliales; Magnoliaceae
Exons: 2
Source: RefSeq, a predicted model, not a curated record